CCCAGCUGCCGCCAAGGUGCUCAGUCCUUCCAAGGGAGCUAAGGCCGCGUCUGGGGUGAGGCCCUCACUUCAUCCAGCGACUAGCACCACGUCCAGCAGCUCCAUCCCGCACUGGCCCUGCCAUGGCCUCCAUCUCCGAGCUUGCCUGCAUCUACUCAGCCCUCAUUCUGCAGGACGACGAGGUGACCAUCACAGAGGAUAAGAUCAACGCCCUCAUUAAGGCCACUGGUGUGACUGUGGAGCCUUUCUGGCCUUCUUUACAAAGGCCUUGGCCAACGUCAUCUGCUCUGGGGAGAGGGAGCGGGGGAGUGGGCUGGUGCCCCACACCUGCAGCUGACGCUGCCCCAGCUGAGGAGAAGAAAGUGGAAGCAAAGAAAGAAGAAUCUGAGGAAUCUGAUGAUGACAUGGGCUUUAGUCUGUUUGACUAAAACUUUUAUAAUGUGUUCAAUAAACAGCUGAACU
Molecule: RNA transcript, 462 nt
Organism: Carlito syrichta (Philippine tarsier)
Lineage: Eukaryota; Metazoa; Chordata; Mammalia; Primates; Tarsiidae
Gene name: 60S acidic ribosomal protein P1 pseudogene
Exons: 1
Source: RefSeq, a predicted model, not a curated record